GACGAACGCUGGCGGCGUGCUUAACACAUGCAAGUCGAACGGAAAGGCCCUGCUUUUGUGGGGUGCUCGAGUGGCGUACGGGUGAGUAACACGUGAGUAACCUGCCCUUGACUUUGGGAUAACCUCAGGAAACUGGGGCUAAUACCGGAUAGGAGCUCCUGCUGCAUGGUGGGGGUUGGAAAGUUUCGGCGGUUGGGGAUGGACUCGCGGCUUAUCAGCUUGUUGGUGGGGUAGUGGCUUACCAAGGCUUUGACGGGUAGCCGGCCUGAGAGGGUGACCGGCCACAUUGGGACUGAGACACGGCCCAGACUCCUACGGGAGGCAGCAGUGGGGAAUAUUGCACAAUGGGCGGAAGCCUGAUGCAGCAACGCCGCGUGCGGGAUGACGGCCUUCGGGUUGUAAACCGCUUUCGCCUGUGACGAAGCGUGAGUGACGGUAAUGGGUAAAGAAGCACCGGCUAACUACGUGCCAGCAGCCGCGGUGAUACGUAGGGUGCGAGCGUUGUCCGGAUUUAUUGGGCGUAAAGGGCUCGUAGGUGGUUGAUCGCGUCGGAAGUGUAAUCUUGGGGCUUAACCCUGAGCGUGCUUUCGAUACGGGUUGACUUGAGGAAGGUAGGGGAGAAUGGAAUUCCUGGUGGAGCGGUGGAAUGCGCAGAUAUCAGGAGGAACACCAGUGGCGAAGGCGGUUCUCUGGGCCUUUCCUGACGCUGAGGAGCGAAAGCGUGGGGAGCGAACAGGCUUAGAUACCCUGGUAGUCCACGCUGUAAACGGUGGGUACUAGGUGUGGGGUCCAUUCCACGGGUUCCGUGCCGUAGCUAACGCUUUAAGUACCCCGCCUGGGGAGUACGGCCGCAAGGCUAAAACUCAAAGGAAUUGACGGGGCCCCGCACAAGCGGCGGAGCAUGCGGAUUAAUUCGAUGCAACGCGUAGAACCUUACCUGGGUUUGACAUGGAUCGGGAGUGCUCAGAGAUGGGUGUGCCUCUUUUGGGGUCGGUUCACAGGUGGUGCAUGGCUGUCGUCAGCUCGUGUCGUGAGAUGUUGGGUUAAGUCCCGCAACGAGCGCAACCCUUGUUCACUGUUGCCAGCACGUUAUGGUGGGGACUCAGUGGAGACCGCCGGGGUCAACUCGGAGGAAGGUGGGGAUGACGUCAAGUCAUCAUGCCCCUUAUGUCCAGGGCUUCACGCAUGCUACAAUGGCUGGUACAGAGAGUGGCGAGCCUGUGAGGGUGAGCGAAUCUCGGAAAGCCGGUCUCAGUUCGGAUUGGGGUCUGCAACUCGACCUCAUGAAGUCGGAGUCGCUAGUAAUCGCAGAUCAGCAACGCUGCGGUGAAUACGUUCCCGGGGCU
This 1346-nucleotide ribosomal RNA is filed under the name uncultured bacterium. RNAcentral's name for it is "partial 16S ribosomal RNA". It matches the Rfam family "Bacterial small subunit ribosomal RNA", at positions 28 to 1381 of the family's 1533-position model. The record is from RNAcentral.